UGGAGACGACACGAAAAUAUGUCUUACAGCACGACGCCCAGAGUCUUGUCCGAUACCCUUAGACAUUUAGAAGGUGAAAAUAAACAAAAGUACGUGGAAAAAUGAGAUAAAGUCGGCAUAGAUGACCCAUAUUAAAUGGCGAAGUCGAUGUUUUCGCCGAUAAGAAAUUGGACUGUUAAUUCGCUUCCCUUGGACAACUGGAUCUACAUAUGGAUCUGAUUAUAUCAUAGCAGAGCCUGUCACUCACCUCAUACUCUGCAAACCUCGUGGAGUCCUCCAGGUUCAUCUCCUCCCUCCUUAGAGGAGAAUCACGGGUGGCCAGUGCCAAACAGCGGAGGGUGUCGCGCCCGGUGCCCCACUCCUUGAUGACUGCCAUGAUGUGAUCUUUGACGGGCCCAGUCAAGGGAAGACGACUUGUGCCCACGCGGACACUUUGAUGGAGAACAGUACACUGACAUGGACUUCCUAUCUCUGGAGAACUCCAGUGUGAACUCUUUCUUCAUCAGUUGCUUGAUCACCUGUCGGAGAAAAGUAGAAAUUGAAAGGAAAUAAUGAAAAUACAUCUGUUCCGAGGUCGAACUGUUGCCAUCAUACCGUGGGGUUCCUCUUUUUGGUCUUUUUGAGGUGACAGGACUUCCUUCACCUGUGAGUAUUGUUUUCUUAUGGUGUGCCGUAUUUUCACAACAUUUAGACUUUGUUUACCUGGUUCAUUUAAUGAUAUACAAUUGCUCUCAUGAAGAGUUUUAAACCCGAACCCCUCCCGUAAAAGGCAUUGCAUUUGCUAUGAAUGAAAGCAUCUUUGAAGUGAAUUAUGUGUAUUAUGUACUAUGACCCGGAUGCCUUUGUAUAGUACAUGUUUGCAGUAGGGCCGCAUGGUGGGGCAGCUGGUAAAGGUCCCGAGUUUGAUCCCGGACCCUCCUGUGUGGAGUUUGCAUGUUCUCCCCGUGCUUGCGUGGGUUUCCUCCGGGCACUCUGGUUUCCUCCCACAUCCCCAUAACAUGCACCAUUAAUUGUAACUGUAAAUUGUGAGUGCGACUGUUGUCUGUCUCCAUGUGCCUUGCAAUUGUCUGGCAACCAGUUCAGGGUGUACCCUGCUUCCUGCCCGUUGACUGCUAGGAUAGGUUCCAGCACUCCCCGUGACCCUUGUGAGGAUAAGCAGCUAAGAAAAUGGAUUCCCAGAAAUUAGAUCCCGGACCCGGCUGUGUGGAGUUUGCAUGUUCUCCCGGGGCCUGUGUGGGUUUCCUCCGGGUACUCCGGUUUCCUCCCACAUCUCCAAAACAUGCAACAUUAAUUGGAGACUCUAAAUUGCCCCAAGGUGUGAUUGUGAGUGUGGCUGUUUGUCUCAAUGCGCUGUACGAUUGGCUGGCAACCAGUUCAGGGUGUACCCCCCCUCCUGCCCGUUGACAGCUGGGAUAGGCUCCAGCACUCCCCGCGACCCUCGUGAGGAUAAGCGGCAAAGAAAAUGGAGGCAUGUAUUACAGUAUACACAUUGAUAGUAUCUAUCAAUCUCUGUCUCUUCUGCUGCACGGGGCAUUGCUUACUUGCUCAGCAGGUUACUUGCUGCCAUAUGAAAUUCUUCCUUGUACAGUAUAUUUAACCACGAGGGUCCCCUGCCGGACGGCCCGCCCCAUACAUGGGCCGGACCGCAGGCAGGUCGGCGAUGGGCAACAGAAGCAGGGCGCGAUGACAGGGUGAUUGAUGAGAGUUUGGCCAAAUGGAAGGACUUCACGGUGAAGAAGUUAAAAGAAACACAAAGGUGUGUGUGUGUGGGGGGGGGGGUACACCGGGAAGAAGUUAAAAGAGACACAAAGGUGGCAGUGGUGGUGGGGGGGCAACUUUAUGACCAGUGAUUAUCACCCUUCAGCUUUUUUUAUUGGCCAACUGGGGCACUGUGUUGUUUGCGGACACAAGCGCCCUGGUCUCGUCUAACACUGAUGAACUUUUUGUGGUUAGAUUUAGCAACUUUUCAACGGACCUCAGCAAAUGUUUCCCCAAAAAUCAACACACUUAGGUGCGGUUAAAAUCAGAGGGGAAACUUUUAGCAACUUUUAAAAAGUGAAUCAAAUGUUAAAACACACACAUUAUCCUUGUAACCGAUGUCCUUGUUUUGACUACACCUGGCUAAGUGAAAUUUUCGUUAAAAUUCACAGAUAUUCUCUCUAAAUAAUUUCAAAUUCUUCUCUCCGUUCCAUGGUCAUAAAAAUACACAGCCUGUUUGUCUCAUUGCAAAGUGCUUUGUGAGUUGCUAAAUUUACUUCAAUUCAUCCAUUUUCUCGCACACUUGUCCACACCUGAGCUCGGGUGAGCUGCAGCCCCUCCCAGCUGACUCUGCUCGAGAGGUGGAGUACACCCUGGACUGGUUCCUAGCCCACUGUCCCACAAAGACACCAACACCCACAUUCACGCGUACGGACACCUAUUAGUCGUGUCACGCCAUGUCAUUAUCCAAGGCGCUUAUCCUCACAAGGGUCACGGGAAAGCUGGAGCCUAUUCCAUCCAGCUUCGGGCGAAAGGCGGACUACACCCUGAACUGGUCGCCAGUCAGUCGCAGGGCAGAUAUCGACACCAUCACUGAGCGGGAAUCGAUCCCACACCUAUUAGUGUCUUCCACUGACCUAAUAAAAUUUUUAAAAUGUGGAUAUAUGGAAAAAAAAAAACAUGCAGCCACGGAGAAAAUAUGCUAACUCUCUCAAGGAAGGCCUGAACUGGGAUUUGAAGUGGAUGAAGUUCAAGAACCAAAGUUGAAAUCAUACCAUCAUACAUCCAAGCAUACAAACUAUGUGUAUCAGGUAAAUGUGAAUAAAACAAAUACAAUGUGGUGAUGAACUCAUAAGUACAUUAAAAAUCUUUUAUUCUCAGCUGUUCGAUCAAUUUGAGUUACACUACUGCGACAUCCACAACCUUUUUAAUCCAAAUGACAACAUUACACAAUAGCAACAUGAUUAACAACAAAUUAUCACAUCUUUAGAAACAUCCAUCCAUCCAUUAUCCAAGCCCCUUAUCCUCACAAGGGUCACGGGAGAGCUGGAGCCUAACCCAGCUAGCUUCAGGCAAAAGGCGGACUACACCCUGAACUGGUCGGCAGUCAGUCGCAGGGCAGAUAUGAAGACCGUCACUUAGCGGGAAUCGAUCCCACGCUGCCUGCACCAAUUCAGACGUGUACCACUACGAUAUAAGUGACUUACAUCUUUAGAAACAUCCCCGGAAAAUGAAUUGACAUCGCUGCUUGUGUACAACCAAAAGAUAGCAGACGGACCAAACGCCCGGCAUACUUGCAAACACGCAAACAUUGAACCGCUUAGGGAAUGUGAAAAGCACUUCUGAAUUUUGCUCGUACAGAUAUCAAUUUUUCUGAGCAACUCCAACUUUGUACAAAUGUGAGACAAGGAAACGGUGUCAAAAUAAAGACAGACAGCUAUUCAGACAGUCAAAUGGACAGUGUAUGGCAUGCGUCAGACAAGUGUGUGCACAUGCAAACAGUGUUUGUGUGCAACAGGUGUUCAAUUGGAAUGGUGCUAAUCUUUAAGUACUGUCCCAGCAAGCCCUAUUCCAGGGAAACACACACUUGAUGAUGAUGCUUUUAUGAUCCCUGUAGGAAAGCAAUUGUUUUGAAGCCAAUUGCGCAACAACUUCUAAUGAUUACUUCGGUUUGGAGUGUUUACGCUGGCAAAUUUGAGUGUAUCACACACAUACAAAAAUAAAAGUGAAAUGCGGGCUUGAUUUCUCAGGCUUCGAAUCCA
Syngnathoides biaculeatus (alligator pipefish) is the source of this 3740-nucleotide long non-coding RNA. RefSeq lists it as uncharacterized. Lineage: Eukaryota; Metazoa; Chordata; Actinopteri; Syngnathiformes; Syngnathidae. The record is from RefSeq and is a predicted model, not a curated record. The transcript has 4 exons.